GUACAAUGUGUAUUUAGUAAACAUUCAUCUCAUCAAAGUUUUACAGUCUGGAAGAAGAAAAGAAGGCUAGACAUCUUAAACAAUGAAGACAGAAGGAUUUACCAUAUGAGAUGAACAAAGAAAAAGUAAGACCAGUAAACCAAAACGGGACCAAAUAGGCCAUGACUGAAGUUCAAGUGCAUUCUGCAAGAAAGUGGACAGCCUAGAUUUUGUUCUUUUCAAGGUUGAGAAGGGAUGCCAUAUUUUAGGUUUGAAACCAGACAAGUGAAAGCUGAAUUCCAACCUACUUCAACAUACUUGUACCCACUGUCUUCAAGAUAUCAGUGUUUGAGAUGUCAAAGUUCAAAUAUAAUAGGAACAUGUUAUCUUUGUGAUGGCAUCCUCAAAUCUUAUGCCGUAUAACAAAAUGUUUUAGAACUUAUCAAGCUUUAUCCUGUACCUUGCCAAAAAAACUCAACUCAGCAUAAUUCUCAUUAACUAAUUAUCAGUGUUACGAGGGUUGAUCCAAAGUAAUGUCACAGUGUCCAUAUCUUUAAUAUUUGGCGUCAUAUUAUCAAAUUUGAUAUACCACAAGAUGCACAAAUAUAAAUCUAAUUAAACUUGAAUUUUUCAUUCAAUAAUGUUCAACUGAAUUUAUUUUAUAGAUCUUUAAAUCAUAGAACAUAAGGGGUGUCGCCGCGUCACAACCGAACGUCACAAAAUAAAGUGUAAUUUUUUAGAAUAAAAAGGACAAACCCAAUGAAAAGCAAUUUUUAAAAAGCGCCUAAUCGCAAACUAUUUUAAAAAGACAAAAAUUUGCAUCAUUUUUUUGUCUAAAUUUGGAAAUUAUUUGACAUCAUUGCUAUUUUUGGUUAAUAACAUCGUUGUUUUACUCCGGUGCAUUGAAAAAAGGAAAUGUCGAAAUGGACAAAAAAGCCAAACAAACUGUAAUGCAUUUUUGCUUCGAAUUGGAGAAAUCGCCAGUAGAGAUAGUUACAUUGAUUCACCAAACUCACAGAGAAAGAACUGUAAAUAAGAGACCUGUUUAGAUGGUUUUAGCGAUUUUUGGUGGGUGAUGGGUCAAUGAAUGCGCAGUAGAUGAUAAGAAGACAGAAAGAAGGGGGGGGGGGAACGAAUCGUUCAAUGGUGUGUGACGUUGUCAAAAAAGACAGACAAUUGGAGCGAUAUGUUUAAUUUUAAGUUGGUCUCAUACUACUGUCCAAAGAAUUUUGACAGAAGAAUUAAUUAUGAAAAGGGUAAGUGUACGAUGAGUACAAAGUUUUCUUUAUGAAAGUGAAUUUUGUGAACGCGUUUGUGGAUCUCAAGUAUUUUUAAUGAAACGACGGGAAGCGUUUAAAUGUAUGACGGCGCGUAUCCAUCAGAUGACGUUAUUUAAGUGCGGCGACUACCAUAAUUGCAUGAUGUAUAUAAUCCGAUUUUCUGAAAAGUAUAAAUCAUGUUGAAUUGAAAUUUUCAGGUCUGAUUUGAAAUAAAUGUAGUUUUCAUCAUUAAUAAUUUUGUUGUCUUACGUCGACGGGUAGCGAUUUUAUCGAAGUUGUGACAUUACUUUUGGAUCAACCCUCGUACUUGCAUAUGUCAAUGUAGGUCAUUACUGGUACAUGCCUGACCAACAAAAACUCUAAAAUUGAAAAAUCAGAGACAAGAUUUUCAGAGCAGCAGAAACAGUAAAAUUUGUCACGUAAAUCUAAUGAUAUGUACCGUAGUUGAGAAUACAUGUACUCUUAAUGU
Molecule: long non-coding RNA, 1728 nt
Organism: Saccostrea cuccullata (small rock oyster)
Lineage: Eukaryota; Metazoa; Mollusca; Bivalvia; Ostreida; Ostreidae
Exons: 3
Source: RefSeq, a predicted model, not a curated record